This is a non-coding RNA of Drosophila melanogaster (fruit fly), 579 nucleotides long. The record is from Ensembl. Lineage: Eukaryota; Metazoa; Arthropoda; Insecta; Diptera; Drosophilidae.
AUUCGACUCCGUUUUUAAAUUUAAAAGCAUUGAAUUUGCUAUAGAUCUGGAUAAUAUUAACUUUUUCCAGUGUAAGCAUGUGGUCUGAGUCUACGGUGCGGUCUCAUAUCUUCGGAAUCUCCAUUUCGUUUUAAAUUAAAACCGAAACCGAACUCGCGCGGAGGCGCACAGUCAGAAAUAGUGGAAUCAAUGGGGAGGGACGGAGGAAACGGAAUACAAAAGACCCCAGCAGACGAGACAAUGGCCAAAAGCAAGAUGGCCCAUAAAGGGGCUACAAAUAAGAUAAAUUGCAUCUUUGGGAUCAAACGCACAGGUAGAGAGGCCCCGACUUGGAUACAUAAAAAUAUGCACAUGAUGGCCGACUUCAGAACAAAAUGCGGGAGAUUCUCGGCUCGAAUUGCAAGUUACUCCGAUGAGAGAGCCCAGUAAUCCGAGCAGAUCCCACCUAUGCGUGGAAUUUGGUGUGACUCUAUCUCUAAACUGAAAUCAACCUUCUAUUGAUUCGGGUGAAAGAGCUAUCCGACCACUAUGCAUAUGCAUACCUCUGAUAUCGACUUCAUCGGCUCAUAGAAACUGGGC